AAAAAACAAAAAAACAAAACCCCGGUUCAGCUUCUUCUUCCUCAUAUCUGCAACCUCCACCUUCAGGCAUUCAUGAGGUCACACACUCAUUCAAAGGGACCUUCUACCUUGCUUUCAUGGAGUCCAUAGGGUCUUUUUUUCCCAUUGACUCCAUUGUGUGUCCGUCCCUGCGUGCCAGUAGGUGCUAGUGCCAUAUUUAACAUAGAGAGAUGCAAUUACAUAUGUUGUUCAUUUUUCUCCUUCCCAAAUUAGACAAAUGUGAGUGUGUUAUUAUUUAAACAAUCUGAAAUUUUUCUAAAGAUUUG
RNAcentral lists this long non-coding RNA (305 nucleotides) under Prunus persica (peach). RNAcentral describes it as "long non-coding RNA (PPER_LNC004260)". Lineage: Eukaryota; Viridiplantae; Streptophyta; Magnoliopsida; Rosales; Rosaceae. The record is from RNAcentral.